CCUACGGGGGACAGCAGUAGGGAAUAUUGCUUAAUGGGGGAAACCCUGAAGCAGCAACGCCGCGUGGAGGAUGAAGGUUUUCGGAUUGUAAACUUCUAUCAAUAGGGAAGAAAGAAAUGACGGUACCUAAAUAAGAAGCCCCGGCUAACUACGUGCCAGCCGCGGCGGUAAUAAGUAGGGGGCAAGCGGUAUCCGGAAUUACUGGGUGUAAAGGGGGAGUAGGCGGCACGGUAAGCGAUAUGUGAAAGCCUUAGGCUUAACCUGAGGAUUGCAUAACGAACUAUCUAGCUAGAGUACAGGAGAGGAAAGCGGAAUUCCUAGUGUAGCGGUGAAAUGCGUAGAUAUUAGGAAGAACACCAGUGGCGAAGGCGGCUUUCUGGACUGAAACUGACGCUGAGGCUCGAAAGCGUGGGGAGCGAACAGGAUUAGAUACCCUGGUAGUC
This 443-nucleotide ribosomal RNA is filed under the name uncultured bacterium. Its description in RNAcentral is "partial 16S ribosomal RNA". It matches the Rfam family "Bacterial small subunit ribosomal RNA", at positions 338 to 795 of the family's 1533-position model. The record is from RNAcentral.